RNAcentral lists this ribosomal RNA (497 nucleotides) under uncultured bacterium. RNAcentral describes it as "bacterial SSU rRNA". It matches the Rfam family "Bacterial small subunit ribosomal RNA", at positions 28 to 524 of the family's 1533-position model. The record is from RNAcentral.
GAUGAACGCUAGCGGGAGGCCUAAUACAUACAAGUCGAACGGUAACAGGUAGCAAUACGCUGACGAGUGGCGCACGGGUGCGUAACGCGUACACAAUCUGCCUUAUACUGGGGCAUAGCCUUUGGAAACGAAGAAUAAUUCCCCAUAACAUAUAGAAGAGGCAUCUCUUUUAUAUUAAAGCUCAGGCGGUAUAAGAUGAGUGUGCGUCCGAUUAGGUAGUUGGUGAGGUAACGGCUCACCAAGCCAACGAUCGGUAGCUGGUCUGAGAGGAUGAUCAGCCACACGGGCACUGAGACACGGGCCCGACUCCUACGGGAGGCAGCAGUAGGGAAUAUUGGACAAUGGGCGCAAGCCUGAUCCAGCCAUCCCGCGUGAAGGAUGAAGGUCCUCUGGAUUGUAAACUUCUUUUCUUCGGGAAUAAAAACUGGGGUUCUCCUCAGCUUGAAGGUACCGAAGGAAUAAGCACCGGCUAACUCCGUGCCAGCAGCCGCGGUAAU